UGGAGCAUGUGGUUUAAUUCGAAGCAACGCGAAGAACCUUACCAGGUCUUGACAUCCCGAUGCUAUUUCUAGAGAUAGAAAGUUACCUCGGUACAUCGGUGACAGGUGGUGCAUGGUUGUCGUCAGCUCGUGUCGUGAGAUGUUGGGUUUAAGUCCCGCAACGAGCGCAACCCCUAUUGUUAGUUGCCAUCAUUCAGUUGGGCACUCUAGCGAGACUGCCGGUAAUAAACCGGAGGAAGGUGGGAUGACGUCAAAUCAUCAUGCCCCUUAUGACCUGGGCUACACACGUGCUACAAUGGUUGGUACAACGAGUUGCGAGUCGGUGACGGCGAGCUAAUCUCUUAAAGCCAAUCUCAGUUCGGAUUGUAGGCUGCAACUCGCCUACAUGAAGUCGGAAUCGCUAGUAAUCGUGGAUCAGCAUGUCACGGUGAAUACGUUCCCGGGUCUU
This 448-nucleotide ribosomal RNA is filed under the name uncultured Streptococcus sp. RNAcentral describes it as "bacterial SSU rRNA". It matches the Rfam family "Bacterial small subunit ribosomal RNA", at positions 933 to 1382 of the family's 1533-position model. Lineage: Bacteria; Bacillati; Bacillota; Bacilli; Lactobacillales; Streptococcaceae. The record is from RNAcentral.